This is a non-coding RNA of Callithrix jacchus (white-tufted-ear marmoset), 141 nucleotides long. Ensembl annotates it as small Cajal body-specific RNA 3. Its record names the gene SCARNA3. The record is from Ensembl. Lineage: Eukaryota; Metazoa; Chordata; Mammalia; Primates; Cebidae.
AAUGGAAGCUGCAGGAACCAACCAUGUGGACAAAUGAAAAAAUCUUUUGUCUACAGAUUGCAGCAAUCCUACAUAAACAUAUGGAGGUCUCUGUCUGGCUUAGGACAGCUGGCUAAGUCUGAUCGUUCCCCUCCAUACAAC